AUUUUAUCACGUUUACCUUUUCUCUAUCUGACGCUUUCGUGCCGUUUGUUGACGCAACCAUCUCCAAUUUACGUCUGAAACUAUGGAGAAGCAAAUCUAAUGCUGAGAAACGAAUUUAGAUCGAUAUUUUCAAGUGAAAGGGAUGACACAAAGCAACCAAGUGUGUUCGCUUUAAAACCUGACCGCCGGAAUCGUAAGAGUGCCGAGAAAAAAUAUGCCUUAUGACAUUUAGUUACAGCCCUUUAUGUUCCGAGUUCAAAACCCACCCUAUUCGUCUUUUACUUUUCACCCUUUUGUGAUUGAUAAAAUAAAGUAUGGGCCAAGUAUUGUGUCAAUUUAGAAUUUUUUUAAUACAUCAUUGAUAUGGAUGGGAUAAUGAAAGACUAAAACCAGAAGAAAAAGAAAUGAAAUAAACGGUUUUAACAGAAAACUAGAUCAGAGUUUCCUGCUGGUGUGUGCAUCAUCAGCUGCAAUCAACGUAUCAGUUCAUUCUAAUUAAUUUAAGUGUGUUAUAUACCCGAUUAACUUGAAUGAGGCAGAUGAAGUGUUUUAACUGAGGAUUCAAAGAGCUACACUUGAACCCAUUACACUGUUUCAGUCCUUUAAUUAUUCAUCCACCACACAACAACAAAUAAAUAAAUAAGCAAUUCUCAAGAUAAACGAAUAUUUUUAUUUUAAUACUUUCAAUUAUUUUCUGCAAUGAUUCCUUUAUGGAGAGAGAGAGAGAGAGAGAGAGAAGAAUAUUUUUCAUAGUCUGGUUUCUCCUAAGACUUUGAACUUCAAGGACAAAUUGUUUCAGGCUGAUAGACGCAACAAUAUUUUAUGAAUUAAAAGAGUUAUGUGUAUGUGUGUGUGUGUGUGUGUAUGUCUGUAUUGAUAGAAAGUGGAUUAACCAUCUAACAGGAAUAAGACAACACCUUCCUUUCCCUCCACUACUCUAGUGUGCUCCUUGGGCCAAUUUAUGGCUUCUCUCUAUGUCACUUAGGUAUAUAGAUCCCCUACCACUCAAGUUGAAUCACUAUGUUUAAGCAUGGGCAGAUACCUAGUGCUGGUAUCAACAACUAUAUACCCUGGAGAAAGAGUAGACCUUGUUCACUAUAUUAAACUUUAGACAAAUGCAAUGUAAAUGUUCUGGUAACAUAAUACACAGCAUGUGCAUCUCCACAGCCAAACACUUAGGCACUAAGAUAAGGUGAUGGUUAUGGCAAAAAGCUGGUGGAGACUGCUUCCUGUUUGAACAAUCUGAAAUGCUUGCAGUUUAAUAUCAAUAAUGAAUCUGCAGGGUGUUAAGUGAAACAGCAGUAGAUGACAUAAACUUGCAUUUAAACAGAAGCACUACAGAUAGAGGCACAAAUGCUUGUCUUCCAGAAUUUGCAAAGCAUUAACAAAUUUCCACUAGUAACAGAUCUGUCAUAUAUGCAGUUCAAUUGCCAAGCUGAAAGCUGGGCUUCCAGGAAUAGGUUCUUGAAAAUGCUGCAGUCAGUGGCAAAGUUUUUGUUAGGAAAUGCAGAAGGGAAAGGAAGAAGAGAUAUAAAAAUAAGAAAGAGAAAAUUCACCAAUGACUUAACUAUCAUCAUUGAUGAAACAAUUGUUUGUUACAUCCAUUGUUUGCAAUGCUAGCAUGAGUGGAAUGUUUAUUGUUAGAACAUUUUUUUUAAUGGAUGUCCUUCCUAGUUCUAACAUCUUCAUUAUGAAAUUUGAGAAUAGGUGGAGCAUGUUGUCAGUGAGGUAAACUGAGGCAAGCAGAGUUAUGUCCCUCAACAAAAGACAAUAUAAUGCUUGAGAGUGUUCAGGUCAUUAGAGAAUACAUCAUACGUCUUUUAACAGCUUCUUUGUUUUUCCCUCUUUUGUAAUAACUGCAGCAAAUACUCUUAUCUAGAUGGAAACUGAAAUAUUAGUCUUAGAGAAAAAAACCCUUCAAGAAACUAUAAUAUUUUUUUAAAAAACAAAAGAUGUUUGAAAAAUAUGAUAUGCAAAGAUGUAUGCGACUUAUAAAUACAUAAACAUAUGUACAUAAGCGUAACAAAUGCAUCCACACACACUAACAUACAAAUAUUUUUAUACAGAUAUUCAUUGAAAAGAAACUAUUUUCAAGAGAAUGGGAACCGGGUUAUUUUGAAUGUCAAUAAAACAAUAUUUCUAACAAUAAAGUCCCUAAAAAAAAAGACAA
This is a long non-coding RNA of Octopus sinensis (East Asian common octopus), 2170 nucleotides long. RefSeq lists it as uncharacterized. NCBI's taxonomy places the organism in Eukaryota, Metazoa, Mollusca, Cephalopoda, Octopoda, Octopodidae. The record is from RefSeq and is a predicted model, not a curated record. The transcript has 4 exons.